Molecule: ribosomal RNA, 253 nt
Filed under: uncultured bacterium
Lineage: Bacteria
Description: partial 16S rRNA
Rfam family: Bacterial small subunit ribosomal RNA
Source: RNAcentral
GUGUCAGCCGCCGCGGUAAUACGUAGGUGGCAAGCGUUGUCCGGAUUUACUGGGCGUAAAGGGAGCGUAGGUGGAUAUUUAAGUGGGAUGUGAAAUACCCGGGCUUAACUUGGGUGCUGCAUUCCAAACUGGAUAUCUAGAGUGCAGGAGAGGAAAGUGGAAUUCCUAGUGUAGCGGUGAAAUGCGUGAAGAUUAGGAAGAACCCCAGGGGCGAAGGCGACUUUCUGGACUGUAACUGACACUGAGGCUCGAA